GGAAGCUUAGCUCAGCUGGGAGAGCAUCUGCCUUACAAGCAGAGGGUCAUAGGUUCGAACCCUAUAGCUUCCACCA
RNAcentral lists this transfer RNA (76 nucleotides) under Clostridia bacterium. Its description in RNAcentral is "tRNA-Val". It matches the Rfam family "tRNA". From Rfam's summary of the family: Transfer RNA (tRNA) molecules are approximately 80 nucleotides in length. Their secondary structure includes four short double-helical elements and three loops (D, anti-codon, and T loops). The record is from RNAcentral. Lineage: Bacteria; Bacillati; Bacillota; Clostridia.